GUUCUUGAAUGCAUUAAACAUAUUAUAACGUAUGUAGGUUCUGUAUGAAUGUGCGUUGUUCUAUGUUGCAGUUCCCGCCUGUCAACCCACACCAGUCUACUGGCCAUCAUCAUCUCCUGGCUGGUACUGUAAGUAUACACUAAGGCUCUAAAGCACCUCUUGAAUAUACUGUACAAUAUCAGUGGUGUUUGUUUUUCUGUAUACUGCAUGUCACUCUUCUAUUGCAGUAUAAUACAGUCCUGUACAUGUCCAGUGUAAUAUAUCCUUCUCAAACUUGACUGAAAAGGUGUUGAUUCUAUUUAUCUUCCAGUGCAUCAUAUAUUCACAGACAAUCCAUUUCCACCUACACCCAUGACAGGUAUUUGGUAUUAUUUUAAUUCUUGCCAAUCAGGCAUUUGAUGUCAACAUUAACAAUAUUUAAACGUGCCUGACAUUUUGUUUUGCAGAGCUCUGUGUUGUUAUUUGGGCGAGGAGUUUCUCCUGACCAUAUGACUAGACCAGGAAAACUUCCAGGCCCUAGUUACUAGGGCUGAGAGUUAUUUGCUUCAUAGCCUCUGUUUACUGUAUGUCCUUACGUCCUUAUGUCUGGUGCUUCUCACCUCAAAGAUCUUGUGAUUACAAAAAAUACAUGUAAAAGCCCUUUAUUAUUUUCAAUUACAUUCUGUCACAUGAAUUCGUUUUUGUGCACCAUAUUUUAUAACUUCAGUACCAUUUAAGUACAGUACAUGGUUACCAAGUACGCAAUGAAAAGGUGUUGUACAUAGAAGUCUAACUGAUCUGUUUUCUUGCUGUUUAACAUUAUUUAACAUCCCUGGUUUAGUCCCGUGUUGCGCACCACCUCAGCUACUUUUGUCUCCUUGUCGUCACGUACAAUUUUAACUAGCUAACCUGUUUGAUCUUAUCUAGAGUAACAUAAUACAUGAUGAGAUAUGUCAUCUGGGUCCAUUUGAAUUUACAACUUUUUUUCAUCAUCUCCACUGCCCAUUCCAACAGCUCAUCCAGCGCAGCCGUUUUAUCAAGCUCCUCCAGCUUAUCAAGUUUAUCAAGCUCCUCCAAUUUAUCAAGCUCCUCCAGUUCAACCAGCACCAGCUCAACCAGCUCAUCCAACAGCUCCAGUUCAACCAGCUCAACCAGCACCAGCUCAACCAACAGCUCCAGUUCAACCAGCUGAACCAGUACCUGGACCUGCACCAGCUCCAUCGACUCAAGAACCACAGGCUCCCAAAGAAAAGGCUGCCUCCACAAAGAAGGGUACGAACAUAUUGUGUUGAUUCAAAGGGAUACACUUAUGUAACUUGUUCAUGUCUGAUCGGAACAUAUUCUUCUUUACUCUUAGUUCCAAAGGAAAAGACCAAGGCAGCUGCCUCAAAGACGGAGUCUCCUAAAGGAAAAGUUAAGAAGCAAGAACUUGUGGUGUCCAACGGGAAGGUCAAACCAGCUGUUGUAAAGAAAGAAGCUGUUGUCUCUGAAGAAAAGACAAAACCUUCCACAACAAAGAAAGAUCCUGUGGAAAAAGGCAAGGACAAAAUAACUCCUACAAAGAAAGAGCCUGCAAUCUCCAAAGAAAAAGUCAAGGCAACCACUAGCAAGACAACCACACCCACUACCAAGAAAGUUGUUUUAGAACCCGAGCCCCCUAAAGAAAAAACCACUCCAAGAGUCCCCACUAUGAGGAAAGGUAACCACACAAAUGUAGUGGUGCCAAUGGUCAAAGCCACCGCAAGAGUUGUCGCUAUAAGACCCAUAUCUACAAAAAAAGGUCCUGCGAUGAAGGAGAAGCUAACUAACGCACCUGAAGCAGGUACAGUAAAGUGCAUCACUCCUAUCUAUUAG
Molecule: long non-coding RNA, 1833 nt
Organism: Salmo trutta (river trout)
Lineage: Eukaryota; Metazoa; Chordata; Actinopteri; Salmoniformes; Salmonidae
Source: Ensembl